Molecule: ribosomal RNA, 234 nt
Filed under: Homo sapiens (human)
Lineage: Eukaryota; Metazoa; Chordata; Mammalia; Primates; Hominidae
Description: rRNA-18S_rRNA-related
Rfam family: Eukaryotic small subunit ribosomal RNA
Source: RNAcentral
CUUUUGAGGCCCUGUAAUUGGAAUGAGUCCACUUUAAAUCCUUUAAAGAGGAUCCACUGUAGGGCAAGUCUGGUGCCAACAGCUGCGGUAAUUCCAGCUCCAAUAGUGUAUAUUAAAGUUGCUGCAGUUAAAAAGCCCGUAGUUGGAUCUCGGGAGCAGGCGUGAGGUCCGCUGCGAGGCGAGCCACCGCCCGUCCCCACCCGUUAACUCUCGGCGCCCCCUCGAUGCUCUAGC